This 163-nucleotide ribosomal RNA is filed under the name Rhizoctonia solani. Its description in RNAcentral is "5.8S ribosomal RNA". It matches the Rfam family "5.8S ribosomal RNA". Rfam says of the family: 5.8S ribosomal RNA (5.8S rRNA) is a component of the large subunit of the eukaryotic ribosome. Lineage: Eukaryota; Fungi; Basidiomycota; Agaricomycetes; Cantharellales; Ceratobasidiaceae. The record is from RNAcentral.
UAAGUUUCAACAACGGAUCUCUUGGCUCUCGCAUCGAUGAAGAACGCAGCGAAAUGCGAUAAGUAAUGUGAAUUGCAGAAUUCAGUGAAUCAUCGAAUCUUUGAACGCACCUUGCGCUCCUUGGUAUUCCUUGGAGCAUGCCUGUNUGAGUAUCAUGAAAUCU